This 1517-nucleotide ribosomal RNA is filed under the name uncultured bacterium. RNAcentral's name for it is "bacterial SSU rRNA". It matches the Rfam family "Bacterial small subunit ribosomal RNA". The record is from RNAcentral.
AGAGUUUGAUCCUGGCUCAGGACGAACGCUGGCGGCGUGCCUAACACAUGCAAGUCGAACGGAGAAUUUCGCAGAGCUUGCUCGACGAAAUUCUUAGUGGCAGUAACGCGUGGAUAAUCUGCCUGUAAGGCAGGGAUAACGCCGGGAAACCGGUGCUAAUACCCGAUAACCUCUUUGGAUCGCAUGGUAUAAAGAGAAAAGGUGGCCUCUUUACAAUGCUACCACUUACAGAUGAAUCCGCGUCCCAUUAGCCAGUUGGUGGGGUAAUGGCCUACCAAAGCAACGAUGGGUAGCCGGCCUGAGAGGGUGACCGGCCACACUGGAACUGAGAUACGGUCCAGGCUUCCUACGGGAGGCAGCAGUGGGGAAUCUUCCGCAAUGGGCGAAAGCCUGACGGAGCAACGCCGCGUGAGCGAAGAAGGUCUUCGGAUUGUAAAGCUCUGUGAUAUUGGACGAACGAUUUCCCGUAAAUAAUGGGAAAGAAUGACGGUACAAUAAGAGGAAGCCACGGCUAACUACGUGCCAGCAGCCGCGGUAAUACGUAGGUGGCAAACGUUGUCCGGAAUUACUGGGCGUAAAGGGCGAGUAGGUGGUUUGCUAAGUCAAGUGUAAAAACUCACGGCUCAACCAUAGUGUGCAUUUGAAACUGAAGAGCUCGAGUGCAGGAGAGGGAAGUGGAAUUCCUAGUGUAGCGGUGAAAUGCGUAGAUAUUGGGGGGAACACCAGUGGCGAAGAGCGACUUCCUGGCUUGUAACUGACACUGAGGCGCGAAAGCGUGGGGAUCAAACAGGAUUAGAUACCCUGGUAGUCCACGCUGUAAACGAUGAGUGCUAGGUGUUGGGGGUAUCGACCCCUUCUGUGCCAGAGUAAACACAAUAAGCACCCCACCUGGGGAGUACGGUCGCAAGACUGAAACUCAAAGGAAUUGACGGGGGCCCGCACAAGCGGUGGAGUAUGUGGUUUAAUUCGACGCAACGCGAAGAACCUUACCAAGGCUUGACAUCCCAUUAAACUCAUGGAAACAUGAGGUCCCUUCGGGGGAAUGGAGACAGGUGGUGCAUGGUUGUCGUCAGCUCGUGUCGUGAGAUGUUGGGUUAAGUCCCGCAACGAGCGCAACCCCUAUUGCCAGUUACCAGCACGUAAAGGUGGGAACUCUGGUGAGACCGCCGGGGACAACUCGGAGGAAGGUGGGGACGACGUCAAAUCAUCAUGCCCCUUAUGUCUUGGGCUACACACGUGCUACAAUGGCAGUUACAGAGGGCAGCGAAGCGGUAACGUGAAGCGAAUCUCAAAAAAGCUGUCUCAGUUCGGAUCGUGGGCUGCAACCCGCCCACGUGAAGUCGGAGUUGCUAGUAAUCGCGAAUCAUCAUGUCGCGGUGAAUACGUUCCCGGGCCUUGUACACACCGCCCGUCACACCAUGGGAGUUGGGAGCGCCCGAAGUCAGUAUCCUAACCGCAAGGAGGGAGCUGCCGAAGGCGAGAUCAAUGACUGGGGUGAAGUCGUAACAAGGUAACCA